RNAcentral lists this unclassified non-coding RNA (315 nucleotides) under plant metagenome. Its description in RNAcentral is "partial contains 5.8S ribosomal RNA, internal transcribed spacer 2, and large subunit ribosomal RNA". The stretch from base 1 to 105 matches the Rfam family "5.8S ribosomal RNA", at positions 50 to 154 of the family's 154-position model. The record is from RNAcentral.
GAACUGCGAUAAGUAAUGUGAAUUGCAGAAUUCAGUGAAUCAUCGAGUCUUUGAACGCACAUUGCGCCCCCUGGCAUUCCGGGGGGCAUGCCUGUCCGAGCGUCAUUGCUGCCCUUCAAGCCCGGCUUGUGUGUUGGGUCGUCGUUCCCUCCGGGGGACGGGCCCGAAAGGCAGCGGCGGCACCGCGUCCGGUCCUCGAGCGUAUGGGGCUUUGUCACCCGCUCGAUAAGGACCGGCCGGGCGCCAGCCGGCGUCUCCAACCUUUUUUUCUCAGGUUGACCUCGGAUCAGGUAGGGAUACCCGCUGAACUUAAGC